UACAGAGGGCCCAAGCGUUGUUCGGAUUCACUGGGCGUAAAGCGCACGUAGGCGGCUUUCUAAGUCGGGGGUGAAAUCCUGGAGCUCAACUCCAGAACUGCCUUCGAUACUGGAAAGCUCGAGUCCGGGAGAGGUGAGUAGAACUGCGAGUGUAGAGGUGAAAUUCGUAGAUAUUCGCAAGAACACCAGUGGCGAAGGCGGCUCACUGGCCCGGUACUGACGCUGAGGUGCGAAAGCGUGGGGAGCAAACAGG
Molecule: ribosomal RNA, 253 nt
Filed under: uncultured bacterium
Lineage: Bacteria
Description: partial 16S ribosomal RNA
Rfam family: Bacterial small subunit ribosomal RNA
Source: RNAcentral